Molecule: long non-coding RNA, 6546 nt
Filed under: Prunus dulcis (almond)
Lineage: Eukaryota; Viridiplantae; Streptophyta; Magnoliopsida; Rosales; Rosaceae
Description: sRNA ncRNA
Source: RNAcentral
GUUCUGUUUCUUUUUCUCAGGUUCAUGGCUUCCAUCAGAACAUGGCCUUUGUUUUUCCAGACAAUGAAGGCGGUGCUGGUUCUAGAAAAAAUGGAGCCAUUUUGAUGCUGUUGCCACAGAAAGUACACAAAUAAUACAAAGCAUAAACAAAUAAUACACAAAUAAUGUUGUAUUUAGUUCCGAAAACUUGAUUUAUACUAAGAUGCAUAUUCUAAGCGAUGGUUCUCUCUCUCACGACACACUCUCUCUCUCCUUUUUUUUUUCUCCCACCGCGACAUCGUCAUUUUUGAUGAUAGUUGCGGCGCCGUCCGGCCACGCCAGGCCACGAGACCAGUCGAAAAAGAACCGGGAGGAGCCGGUGACCUUCAGGCCGUCACACCGUCGCGACGAGCUCAGAAAGUUUCGGGAUUUUUGAGCUUUCAGUCAUCGUUUCCAGCGAAUCCAGAGGCCAAUUUCGUCGAUCCAGGUAUGAAUCUUCAUCCCCUCCACGUGCUCUAGCUGUCUAUGCUAGUAUCUUGGAUCAAUUUUGAGGUUUUUCAGAUAGUUCAAUAUACCCAUUUUUAGCCAACAAUUUUGCCUCGAUUCGGCUAGUUCUGGUCAGUUUUCAGCUAGUUCAAUAUACCCCUUAGUUGUGCUUGAUGUGUUGGUAUAGGUAUUGUGAGGUGUUUCAAGAAAUUUCUGUCGCUGAAAAUUUCUCAAGACACCCUCACUCUGCCAACUGCGCAUGGCGACUCGUGGGACAUUGUGUGGCAGUCCACUAAGUUCUAAAUUGUUUCCCUUCUCGUCCUGAGCAUGACGGUAUACUCGGAUUUGAAUUUGGUUAUCGUUUGAUAGUUGAACGGAUAUUGCACCUAUUAUGCGAUAUCCGGGUUCGAUAGGGUCGGACUUUUCGAUUAGUCCCAAUUUCAAUUAUGUUGUUCCGCAUAUCUCUAGGAUCAUGUAGGAACUUUACGGAUCGAGAAUCAAGGUUUCGGGUACUCCAAAUCAAUGAUUCUAAGUUUAGGCAAAACAAUCGUCGUCCGAUCGUGCGAUUGGCUUAGAUCCGACCGCUUGAUCGAGAUCAAACUUUCGGGACUUCUUUAGUAAACUUUGUUGGACCUAUAGGAACUUUAGGAUCAGAAAUUAGAGGUCGUGAGCCUCACAGGCCUAGUUGACCUAGAUGGUGGGCCUCAUUGGCCCGAUCAAGACCCUUUUGGUUACGAGGUGUUUGUGGUAGGUUUGUUGGAGUUUAAAUUGGUAUUUUUGCUAUGAAAAUUUUAUUAACUGUUUAUGAAUUAUUGUUCUAUUGAUUUUACUUUCCAAGCAUGAUAUAUCUCUGUUUAUUUUAUAUAUGUUCUAAAUGGAUUAAUAAUUAGAUUGUGUUGCCUUUGGAAAUAUGGUUGCCUUCGGAGAUAUUGAUGUCUUCAGAAUGUAUUCGGACACAUGGUUGUCUUUUGAAUGUCUUCAAACAUAUGGUUGCCUUCGGAUUGUCUUUGGACACCUUAGUUACCUUCGGAUUUGUCGACUUGCGUUUGAUAGUGUGCUCACGAAUUUCGGGGACGCCCGAACCGUGUGGUGCGAGGAUUUGCAUUCUCAGGUGGAGUAUAUCUCCCUGAGUUAUGUGAGGAAUGCAGUCUCAAGCCGACCAUAUGUCCCCUGAGUUUUGCUAGGAAUGCAUCUCGGCCUGACCUCAUGUCCCCUGAGUUCUGCAAGGAUGUAUCACACAUGUGGCAACAUGUGUGGUGCUGGGGAAAUUGACGGAUUAUUUGCAUUCUCGGGUUAAGUAUAGCUACCUAAGUCCUGCAAAGGAAAUUGACGGUAUAUUAUUAGAAUUAAUGGAUUACGUUUGAGGUAUAUCUAUGUGGAGAAUAGUGCAGUACCACCCUGUGGUACACUUGACAGGAUAUUUGAUAGGACCCGACCCAAAUUCUACUUCGGAAUCCGUGUCGAACCCCUUACGUGUCCAGCACCUGGCAGGUGGCGGGCACGAAUGACCAAAGUACCCUUCUUGCCCUAAUCCAAAAACUGCUUUAGCGUUUGACUUCUACCGAGAAACCGGCAGAGUCUCUCUUAAAAAAAGCUCAAAACCCAGAAACCUACCUGCACGGCAAACUCAAAUAAUUUCCCAAGCGUUUAGCAAAUUCAACUUUACAAAACUGAACAUAACAUAACAAACCAAACAAAAACUUGCAGCUGCACCUAGGUUAGCCUAAGUUGCUUACGUAUCCUUAUUGAGGGUUCAAACCACACAUAGUUCUUUCUAUCUUGAGACACAAUUAAGAUAGUACAGAAAUAUUCAAAAUGAAACCAACGAAGAAAUUCUGGAAUCAUUCUUUAUCUUGGUCUCCACAAGUUAUAUAAUUGAAUAUCAUGCCAUUAAAUUAUGUACUUAACUGUUCCAUUAGUUUAUCACUGUACAUCCAAAUACUUGCAUAACCAAACCUUUUACCUGAAAACCAUACCUACAAUCAUCCGCAUAGUACAUAUAUCAUGUAAUCACCCACCAAGGGGAAUAUGGGAACACUAUCAAAUCCAAAGGCAACAAGGGAUGGGGAAACUAGCUAACCACCUGUGUAGACAAGUCCGGCAGAUGGCUUGGGAUCUUGGCCAACCUUGUGCAGAUAAUAUGAGCAGGGUGGUUAAUAAUAUCUUGUUAAUUGUACCACAUGUUGGUACUGCAUUAUUCUCCACAUAGAUGUACUCUAAACAUAAUCCAUCAAUUCCAAUAAUAUAACGUCAAUUCCAAGUACCACACAUGUGGCCACAUGUGUCAUACAUCCUCGCAAAACUCGGGGGACACGCGGUCAACCCGAGAUGCAUUCCUCAUAGAACUCAGGGGACCCAUGGUUGGCCUGAGCCGCAUUCCUCACAGCAGGGAAAUACACUCAACCUGAGAACGCAAAUCCUUGCACUACACGGUUCGAGCGCCACAGAUACUCGUGGGGCAAUGUCAUACGUGCGUAGACAAAUCCGUCAAUUCCCCUCGCAGGACUCAGGGAGAUAUACUCAACUUGAGAAUGCAAAUAAUCUGUCAAUUCCCCUCACAGGAUUCAGGGAGAUAUACUCAACCUGAGAACACAAAAUAAUCCGAAGGCAACCAUAUGUUCGAAGACAUUCCGAAAGCAACUGUAUGUCCGAAGACAUCAUUAUUUCUGAAGGCAACCAUAUUUCCGAAAGAAACACAAUCCAAUUAUUAAUCCAUUUAACACAUAUAUAAAAAUACACACAUAUAUAUCAUGCUUGGAAGUAAAACCAAUAGAACAAUAAUUCACAAAUAUUUAAUAAAACUCUCAUAGCAAAAUACCAACUUAAAAUCAAAUAACCAAGCCCCAAGCCCUAAGCACCUCCCAACCAAUUAGUCUCGAUCGGACCUGCAAGGCCCACCAUCUACGUCAAUUAGGUUUGUGGGGCCUACGAUCUCUGAUUCCCCUAUCCGAAAGUUCUUGUAGGUCCAACAAAGUUUACUAAACAAGUCCUGAAAGUUUGAUCACGACCGAGAAGUGGAAUCUAAGUCAAUCGCACGAUCGGAUGGCGAUCAUUUCGCCUAAAUUUGGCAUCAAUGACUCGAAGUAUCUGGGACUUCGAUUCUUAAUCAGCAAGUUCCUACACAAUCCUAGAGGCAUAGAGAACGACAUAAUUGAAAUUGGAACUGAUUGAACAGUCUGAACCUAAUGAACCCGGAUAUCACAUAAUAGGUGCAAUAUUCACUCGACUGUUAAAUGAUAACCAAAUCUAAAUCCGAGCAUACCGUCUUGCUUAGGAUAACAAAUGAAACAAUUUAGAACUCAAUGGGCAGCCACACAGUGGCCCACGCGCUGCCACCCACCACUGGCAGCGGUGGGUGUCUUGAGAGAUUUUUCGGCUGCAGAAAAUCACAAACCACUGCCCAAUACAUGUGCCAAUAGAUUUAGACUAACUAGGAAAUCUACUUUUGUUCUUGGAACACGGCAAAAAACUAACCGGAAAUAAUCAAAAACACCAACCGCUGGCCAAAAAUGGGUUUAAGAAUUGAUUUCUAAAACCUCAAAAUUAACCCAACCCAAGUACAUAAACAAGUAGAGCGUGAUGAGUAGAGUUUCAUACCUCGCUCGAUGAAAACCAUCGCCCGAAUCACCGAAAAAUGCAAGAACACGCCAGAAAAACCUAAGCAUUUCUCAGCUUCGAUUCGAGCUCUCCCUCAGCAAAUAGGAUCAAUUCUUGCAUCUGUUUUGUAGAGGAGGACGAGAGAAACCUUUUUUGUGAAGCUAGCAUGGCCAACCGGUGCACGACGACGUCAAUUGGUGGUCGAGAAGUCAAACAAUCACUGUUGCUACAAUGAUUGUCGCAAGAGAAGAGAAGGAAGAAGAAAAUGUUGUCGGGGGGGGGGGGGGGGGGGAGAAAGAAGAAGGAGAAAAAUAAAAAGCAGCCCCGGUACUGUAGUAGUAACAAAUUUGAAAAUUCUCAUUAUGUCCUUUUCGUUUCUAGACCUUUCCUCUUUCGUUACAACUCGGAAUUAGCGUGCCGCAUGUCUACAAACUCGUAUCGUCGAGCUCUAUGCAUCGAUGCCACUCAACUCCCCAAAAUCCUUCCAAAACAAAAAGUGACUAAAGUGCCCCUGCACCCAAGGGCAAAAAUGUAAUUUCGCCAUAAAUAAUUAAUUGAAUAGUUAUUUUUGGGACGGGUGUUACAAUAUUCUUCACCAUCCUACUCAUAUUAUCUGCACAGGGUUUGCCCAAGAUCCCUAGCCACUUGCCAGACUUGUCUACACAAAUGGAUAAUUAGUUUCCCUUUCCCUUGUUGCCUUAGGAUUUGGUGGUUUUCCCAUAUACCCCUUAGUGGGUGAUUACAUGAUAUGUGCACUGUGCGGCACUGUGCGGAUAAUUACAGGUAUAUCUUUCUGGUAAAAGGUUUGGUUAUGUAAGUAUUUGGAUGUACAAUGAUAUACUAAUUGAACAGUUAAGUACAUAAUUUCAUGGAAUGAUAUUCAAUUAUAUAGCUGGUUAAAAACAAAGUAAAGAAUGAUUCUAGAAUUUAAUUGUUAGUUUUACCUUGAACAAUAUUAACGUAUCUGAAAUGGAUUUUUUGGUAGAAAGAACUACAUGUGGUUUGAUCCCUCAAUAAGGGUACAUAAGCAACCUAGGCUAACCUAUGUGCAGCCGCAAGUUAAUGAUUUGUUUGUUAUGUUCAGUUUUGCAAGUUAAAUUUACUGAAUGCUUGGGAGAAAUUGAGUUUGUUGUGUACGUAGAUUCUGGGUUUUGAGCCUUUUUCAGGGGAGGCUACUGUUUUCCAGUAGAAGUCAAACCCUAAAGCAAUUUUUGAAUUAGGGCAAGAAAGGUAUUUUGGUCAUUCAUGCCCGACACUUGCCAGGAGUUGGACAUGCACGGGAUUCGACACGGAUUCCAAAAUGGAAUUUGGGUCGAGUCCUUUUAGGGAGAGGUGGGAUUAUAGAGAAGGGUUUGUUGUGUUUAGAGACGCAUCCUACAGCCAUGGUAUUUUCUUUUUAACAUUAACUUGUGUGAAAAUAUCCAACCCCACUAGUCUUUUUCUUAUUUGUUUAUUGAACCAAAAUCAAAUAGUUUUAUUUUUUUUUUAUUUUUGUGGGUUUUUCUAUACGUACUAUUUUUUUUGCGUUUUAUUUUUAUUUAACUGAAUUACUUUUACUAAUGAAGAUUAUCCUCAACUAUUAUAUUGCAAAAUUACUGUUCAAGUGUCAGAUGAUUUUAUAUUUACUAUAUUUAAAUCAAUAGUCACCAAUUCUUUAAAGUGUGAGAUAACUAGUCAAAAUUAAUAGUGAGUAGUAAGCAAAGCCAUUAAUCAUUCAAAUGUCACCAAAACCUACUUUGUCACUUUAAAAAUGUGACUAUUUUCUUUUUUUGGUAGUGAGAGCUUGUAAAAAGAUUUAUGCACAAGCUAACUUGUAUCCACUAGCUGCAAAGAGGAUCAUAAGGUACAUUCAUGGUGCAGUUUGGUAUACUGUAUGGAAGGAAUGUUGAGCCAAACUUGAUUGGGUUAUGUCAUAGUGAUUGGGGAUUAAGUGUGGAUGAAUUGAAGAACACAUUUGGUUACACAUUUACACUGGGAAUUGGUGUAUUUACACAUUUACACAUUUGCUCUAAAAAACAGAAAUCAUUUCUACAAUCAACUACAGAAGCAGAAUAUGUAUCGACUUCAAUUGCAACCUUUCAAGCAGUAUGGUUGAGAAGAAUUAUGGAGGAUAUUGGUGAGAAACAAAAGAAUUGGAAACUCCCCUUCUUCGUGACAACAAAUUUGCAAUUGCUAUGUGCAAGAAUUUUAUCUGUCACAGUAGAGCAAAGUACGUUGCUCUAAAACUUCACUACAUUAGAGAUGUCGUAGAAGAAAAUCAAGUAGAUAUGGUUUAUUGCAUUACACAAGAUCAAGUUGCACAUAUCAUCACCAAAACAUUGUUAAAGGAUAGAUUCUUCCACCUAAGGAAGCUCAUGAGAGUUCAACAACAAGGCAUUAAGGGGUAGUGUUAAAUUUAAUGUGUAAUGUCAUUGUUGUAACUUUCGGACAAAAAGAGCUCGAGCUGUUUCUAUUAGAGAAAAUCAGCUCGAGUGUAAUGUGUCU